This 209-nucleotide ribosomal RNA is filed under the name Pseudo-nitzschia pungens. Its description in RNAcentral is "partial Bacterial small subunit ribosomal RNA". It matches the Rfam family "Bacterial small subunit ribosomal RNA", at positions 1184 to 1392 of the family's 1533-position model. The record is from RNAcentral. Lineage: Eukaryota; Bacillariophyta; Bacillariophyceae; Bacillariales; Bacillariaceae.
GUCAAGUCAUCAUGGCCCUUACGACCAGGGCUACACACGUGCUACAAUGGCCGGUACAGAGGGCCGCGAACCUGCGAAGGUAAGCUAAUCUCAUAAAACCGGUCGUAGUCCGGAUUGGAGUCUGCAACUCGACUCCAUGAAGUCGGAAUCGCUAGUAAUCGUGGAUCAGAAUGCCACGGUGAAUACGUUCCCGGGCCUUGUACACACCG